Molecule: ribosomal RNA, 302 nt
Filed under: uncultured bacterium
Lineage: Bacteria
Description: partial 16S ribosomal RNA
Rfam family: Bacterial small subunit ribosomal RNA
Source: RNAcentral
GCAGCCGCCGCGGUAAUACAGAGGGUGCGAGCGUUAAUCGGAUUUACUGGGCGUAAAGCGUGCGUAGGCGGCUUUUUAAGUCGGAUGUGAAAUCCCUGAGCUUAACUUAGGAAUUGCAUUCGAUACUGGGAAGCUAGAGUAUGGGAGAGGAUGGUAGAAUUCCAGGUGUAGCGGUGAAAUGCGUAGAGAUCUGGAGGAAUACCGAUGGCGAAGGCAGCCAUCUGGCCUAAUACUGACGCUGAGGUACGAAAGCAUGGGGAGCAAACAGGAUUAGAUACCCCGGUAGUCCCUGUCUCUUAUAC